UCCUGGUGCUCAUGCCAGCGGAAGUAGUCGUACAAAUACGUGUUGAACUUUUUUCCUUAGUCUUGUGUUUUUGUCAUCGUUUAUGUGGUUGUUUGGUUGUAUGAGCUAUGAAAAUUUAUAUGUUUGUAUGAAAUUUAUGAAAUGAAAAAGAAAAGAAAUCGUCAGAAUGAGCGCGCGAGCGAUGCAAUUUUCAAACGUUGCAUGCUUCAUGAUUCCGUAAACACAUCGUCAUUAAUGUCUGUAAAACGUACAGUGAAUUUUAGAAUGAAACGAAUGAACUAAAGACUGCUGAGUCUUAUAGCAAAGAAAAUGAAUAUUCUGAAGAUGGAAGAAUUAGUAUAAGAAUUGUUUCCUAUGGACGAUUCAUCAUAUUCAUUGGAGAAGACGCCUUCAGAAAAUUUAGAUAAAAUUGUGCAAAGCAUUUUCAU
Xenia sp. Carnegie-2017 is the source of this 428-nucleotide long non-coding RNA. RefSeq lists it as uncharacterized. Lineage: Eukaryota; Metazoa; Cnidaria; Anthozoa; Malacalcyonacea; Xeniidae. The transcript has 4 exons. The record is from RefSeq and is a predicted model, not a curated record.